UCGCUCUAUAAAAAAAAAACAUUUUGAGAGGUGGGCUGAUAAAAGGGUUAGUUGACAGUGGGACUUCCACCAAUAGACCCAUUCAACUUGGACAUACAUGUAGUAUUUUCCCAUUAAAGAACACAUGUUAUUCCCUUAGUAAUGAGAUACCUGUUUGCGUUUUAUUUCAAUCUUCUUCAGUUCUCGAGUAUUACAGAUAAACAAAGAAAUAUUACUCAAAGGAAUACAACAUGAUUUGAAAUAGCUAGACUUACCAGCAUUCCAAGAUGCCUCAAUAAGCUGUUGUAUUCGUGGUAUUGAAGGAACAUUUUCGCCAACUAGAACAAAGCAACAUUAGCAAAACAGAUCAGGGAUUCAACUAUGGUAAGAAAAUAUCAGGGCCAUGCAACGGUACCCAUGCAACUAGCUGUGGGUUUAAUGAAGACCAGUGUCCACUUAAUAUAUAGUAGAGGUACCAACGUAUUACAGUCUUAGUAAGUUUAUUGUCCAAUUAUUGAAGUCACCUGC
Actinia tenebrosa (Australian red waratah sea anemone) is the source of this 507-nucleotide long non-coding RNA. Lineage: Eukaryota; Metazoa; Cnidaria; Anthozoa; Actiniaria; Actiniidae. The record is from RefSeq and is a predicted model, not a curated record.